CCUACGGGUGGCAGCAGUGGGGAAUAUUGGACAAUGGGCGAAAGCCUGAUCCAGCCAUGCCGCGUGUGUGAAGAAGGCCUUCGGGUUGUAAAGCACUUUCAGUGGGGAAGAAAGCCUUGGGGCUAAUACCCUCGAGGAAGGACAUCACCCACAGAAGAAGCACCGGCUAACUCCGUGCCAGCAGCCGCGGUAAUACGGAGGGUGCGAGCGUUAAUCGGAAUUACUGGGCGUAAAGCGCGCGUAGGCGGUCUGAUAAGCCGGUUGUGAAAGCCCCGGGCUCAAACUGGGAACGGCAUCCGGAACUGUCAGGCUAGAGUGCAGGAGAGGAAGGUAGAAUUCCCGGUGUAGCGGUGAAAUGCGUAGAGAUCGGGAGGAAUACCAGUGGCGAAGGCGGCCUUCUGGACUGACACUGACGCUGAGGUGCGAAAGCGUGGGUAGCAAACAGGAUUAGAUACCCUAGUAGUC
This 465-nucleotide ribosomal RNA is filed under the name Vreelandella stevensii. RNAcentral's name for it is "partial 16S ribosomal RNA". It matches the Rfam family "Bacterial small subunit ribosomal RNA", at positions 338 to 795 of the family's 1533-position model. The record is from RNAcentral. Lineage: Bacteria; Pseudomonadati; Pseudomonadota; Gammaproteobacteria; Oceanospirillales; Halomonadaceae.